This 235-nucleotide unclassified non-coding RNA is filed under the name fungal sp. RNAcentral describes it as "partial internal transcribed spacer region". The stretch from base 1 to 46 matches the Rfam family "Eukaryotic small subunit ribosomal RNA", at positions 1786 to 1831 of the family's 1831-position model. The record is from RNAcentral. Lineage: Eukaryota; Fungi.
AAGUCGUAACAAGGUUUCCGUAGGUGAACCUGCGGAAGGAUCAUUACCAAGUUUAAUCCAAAAACACUUAACCCAUGUGCACUAUGAUUUGUCUGUCUUUGGGGUGGAGGAAUCGAGGGUAUUAAUCCUCGCUGAUGUCACCCCACAUGUGUAAACAUCCUUUUUAUUUUCUAUUGGAAUCUACUUGUCUUAAUAAAUAUUAGACAACUUUUAACGGUGGAUCUCUUGGCUCGUG